This is a non-coding RNA of Pelobates cultripes (western spadefoot toad), 241 nucleotides long. NCBI's taxonomy places the organism in Eukaryota, Metazoa, Chordata, Amphibia, Anura, Pelobatidae. The record is from the annotation of a GenBank genome assembly.
UCCCUUAGUGUCUCAGUGUCGGCCAUAAUGUCUCCCAAUGCCCCUUAGUGUCUCAGUGUCGGCCAUAAUGUCUCCCAAUGCCCCUUAGUGUCUCAGUGUAUGUCUCCUUGCAGCCUUUCCCCCCAUCCCUUACUUCCCUGAGCUGUAGGCUGUCUCUGCAGGGUGGGAGUUGCUGUCUGGACUCUCUGUAGCUGCACCCCUGCAGAUCAGUGAGUAUAGAUAGGCAGGGAGGGAUAUGCUG